RNAcentral lists this ribosomal RNA (448 nucleotides) under Pseudomonas nitroreducens. RNAcentral describes it as "bacterial SSU rRNA". It matches the Rfam family "Bacterial small subunit ribosomal RNA", at positions 379 to 821 of the family's 1533-position model. The record is from RNAcentral. Lineage: Bacteria; Pseudomonadati; Pseudomonadota; Gammaproteobacteria; Pseudomonadales; Pseudomonadaceae.
AAGCCUGNNNAGCCAUGCCGCGUGUGUGAAGAAGGUCUUCGGAUUGUAAAGCACUUUAAGUUGGGAGGAAGGGCAGUAAGUUAAUACCUUGCUGUUUUGACGUUACCAACAGAAUAAGCACCGGCUAACUUCGUGCCAGCAGCCGCGGUAAUACGAAGGGUGCAAGCGUUAAUCGGAAUUACUGGGCGUAAAGCGCGCGUAGGUGGUUUGGUAAGAUGGAUGUGAAAUCCCCGGGCUCAACCUGGGAACUGCAUCCAUAACUGCCUGACUAGAGUACGGUAGAGGGUGGUGGAAUUUCCUGUGUAGCGGUGAAAUGCGUAGAUAUAGGAAGGAACACCAGUGGCGAAGGCGACCACCUGGACUGAUACUGACACUGAGGUGCGAAAGCGUGGGGAGCAAACAGGAUUAGAAACCCUGGUAGUCCAGACCAAGUCUCNGNCUACCGUAC